This 434-nucleotide ribosomal RNA is filed under the name uncultured bacterium. Its description in RNAcentral is "partial 16S ribosomal RNA". It matches the Rfam family "Bacterial small subunit ribosomal RNA", at positions 29 to 507 of the family's 1533-position model. The record is from RNAcentral.
AGCGAACGCUGGCGGCAGGCCUAACACAUGCAAGUCGAACGAACCUUUCGGGGUUAGUGGCGGACGGGUGAGUAACACGUGGGAACGUGCCUUUAGGUUCGGAAUAACUCAGGGAAACUUGUGCUAAUACCGAAUGUGCCCUUCGGGGGAAAGAUUUAUCGCCUUUAGAGCGGCCCGCGUCUGAUUAGCUAGUUGGUUGAGGUAAUGGCUCACCAAGGCGACGAUCAGUAGCUGGUCUGAGAGGAUGAUCAGCCACAUUGGGACUGAGACACGGCCCAAACUCCUACGGGAGGCAGGAGUGGGGAAUCUUGCGGAAUGGGCGAAAGCCUGACGCAGCCAUGCCGCGUGAAUGAUGAAGGUCUUAGGAUUGUAAAAUUCUUUCACCGGGGACGAUAAUGACGGUACCCGGAGAAGAAGCACCGGCUAACUUCGUG